This 656-nucleotide ribosomal RNA is filed under the name uncultured bacterium. Its description in RNAcentral is "bacterial SSU rRNA". It matches the Rfam family "Bacterial small subunit ribosomal RNA", at positions 225 to 883 of the family's 1533-position model. The record is from RNAcentral.
AUGGGCACGCGUGACAUUAGGUAGUUGGUGGGGUAACGGCCUACCAAGCCUACGAUGUCUAGGGGUUCUGAGAGGAAGGUCCCCCACACUGGAACUGAGACACGGUCCAGACUCCUACGGGAGGCAGCAGUGAGGAAUAUUGGUCAAUGGGUGCAAGCCUGAACCAGCCAAGUCGCGUGAGGGACGACGGAUCUAUGGUCUGUAAACCUCUUUUAUAAGGGAAGAAUAAGGAUUACGUGUAAUCCGAUGCCAGUACCUUAGGAAUAAGCACCGGCUAACUCCGUGCCAGCAGCCGCGGUAAUACGGAGGGUGCAAGCGUUAUCCGGAUUUAUUGGGUUUAAAGGGUGCGUAGGCGGCAAUUCAAGUCAGUGGUGAAAUCCGGCAGCUCAACUGUCGCGAGCCAUUGAAACUGGAUAGCUUGAGUACAGUCGAGGUAAGCGGAAUAAGUGAAGUAGCGGUGAAAUGCAUAGAUAUCACUUAGAACUCCGAUAGCGAAGGCAGCUUACCAGCCUGUAACUGACGCUGAUGCACGAGAGCGUGGGUAGCGAACAGGAUUAGAUACCCUGGUAGUCCACGCCGUAAACGAUGCUCACUGGUUCUAAGCGACAGACAGUUUGGGACCGAGCGAAAGUAAAAGUGAGCCACCUGGGGAGUAC